CCGGGGAUAACAGGCUUAUCGCUCCCGAGCGUCCAUAGCGGCGGAGCGGUUUGGCACCUCGAUGUCGGCUCAUCGCAUCCUGGGGCUGUAGGCGGUCCCAAGGGUUGGGCUGUUCGCCCAUUAAAGCGGUACGCGAGCUGGGUUCAGACCGGCGUGAGCCAGGUCGGUCCCUAUCUGUCGUGGGCGGUCCAGACUUGACAGGAGUCAACUUUAGUACGAGAGGACUGAGUUGGACGAACCCCUGGUGAUCCUGCUGGCGUGCCAACGCCACCGCAGGGUAGCUACGUUCGGCAGGGAUAACCGCUGAAAGCAUCUAAGCGGGAAGCCCCCCUGGAGAUGAGGUCUGGUAGCGCAAGCGUGAGACCCCCGGUAGACCACCGGGUUGAUCGGCCGCAGCUGUAAGGGUUGAGAAGCCCUCAGGUGAGCGGUACGAACGGUCGAAGGUGUGACCAC
RNAcentral lists this ribosomal RNA (453 nucleotides) under Phycisphaerae bacterium. RNAcentral describes it as "bacterial LSU rRNA". It matches the Rfam family "Bacterial large subunit ribosomal RNA", at positions 2468 to 2925 of the family's 2925-position model. Lineage: Bacteria; Pseudomonadati; Planctomycetota; Phycisphaerae. The record is from RNAcentral.